Non-coding RNA from Cyprinodon tularosa, 375 nucleotides. The record is from the annotation of a RefSeq genome assembly. Lineage: Eukaryota; Metazoa; Chordata; Actinopteri; Cyprinodontiformes; Cyprinodontidae.
AUGACUUGGAACUGCGUCCUCAUCUGGACUCUCCUCUGCUGCUGCUUCACAGAGUCCAGAGGUCAGGUCACUGUGAUUCAGCCUGCAGCAGUGAGAGCUGAUCUGGGAGGAUCUGUUACCAUCAGAUGUAGAACCAGUCAGAAUGUUUAUAAUGGAAAUGAGUUGGCAUGGUACAAGCAGAGAGGAGAGCAACGUCCCACAGCUUUGAUCAAGCUUGUUAAUCAACGACUAUCAGGGAUUUCAAGUCGUUUUACAGGCAGUGGAUCAAACUCUGACUUCACUCUGACCAUCAGUGGAGUUCAGACUGAAGAUGCUGCAGUUUAUUACUGUCAGAGUGUUCAUCUGAUGAACAGUCAGUGGGGCUUCACACAGUGA